RNAcentral lists this ribosomal RNA (1430 nucleotides) under Kocuria sp. BS-1. RNAcentral describes it as "16S ribosomal RNA". It matches the Rfam family "Bacterial small subunit ribosomal RNA". The record is from RNAcentral. Lineage: Bacteria; Bacillati; Actinomycetota; Actinomycetes; Micrococcales; Micrococcaceae.
AGUCGAACGAUGAUGCCCAGCUUGCUGGGCGGAUUAGUGGCGAACGGGUGAGUAAUACGUGAGUAACCUGCCCUUGACUCUGGGAUAAGCCUGGGAAACUGGGUCUAAUACUGGAUACUACCUCUUACCGCAUGGUGGGUGGUGGAAAGGGUUUUACUGGUUUUGGAUGGGCUCACGGCCUAUCAGCUUGUUGGUGGGGUAAUGGCUCACCAAGGCGACGACGGGUAGCCGGCCUGAGAGGGUGACCGGCCACACUGGGACUGAGACACGGCCCAGACUCCUACGGGAGGCAGCAGUGGGGAAUAUUGCACAAUGGGCGGAAGCCUGAUGCAGCGACGCCGCGUGAGGGAUGACGGCCUUCGGGUUGUAAACCUCUUUCAGUAGGGAAGAAGCGAGAGUGACGGUACCUGCAGAAGAAGCGCCGGCUAACUACGUGCCAGCACCCGCGGUAAUACGUAGGGCGCAAGCGUUGUCCGGAAUUUAUUGGGCGUAAAGAGCUCGUAGGCGGUUUGUCGCGUCUGCUGUGAAAGCCCGGGGCUCAACCCCGGGUCUGCAGUGGGUACGGGCAGACUAGAGUGCAGUAGGGGAGACUGGAAUUCCUGGUGUAGCGGUGAAAUGCGCAGAUAUCAGGAGGAACACCGAUGGCGAAGGCAGGUCUCUGGGCUGUUACUGACGCUGAGGAGCGAAAGCAUGGGGAGCGAACAGGAUUAGAUACCCUGGUAGUCCAUGCCGUAAACGUUGGGCACUAGGUGUGGGGGACAUUCCACGUUUUCCGCGCCGUAGCUAACGCAUUAAGUGCCCCGCCUGGGGAGUACGGCCGCAAGGCUAAAACUCAAAGGAAUUGACGGGGGCCCGCACAAGCGGCGGAGCAUGCGGAUUAAUUCGAUGCAACGCGAAGAACCUUACCAAGGCUUGACAUUCACCGGACCGCCCCAGAGAUGGGGUUUCCCUUCGGGGCUGGUGGACAGGUGGUGCAUGGUUGUCGUCAGCUCGUGUCGUGAGAUGUUGGGUUAAGUCCCGCAACGAGCGCAACCCUCGUUCUAUGUUGCCAGCACGUGAUGGUGGGGACUCAUAGGAGACUGCCGGGGUCAACUCGGAGGAAGGUGGGGAUGACGUCAAAUCAUCAUGCCCCUUAUGUCUUGGGCUUCACGCAUGCUACAAUGGCCGGUACAAAGGGUUGCGAUACUGUGAGGUGGAGCUAAUCCCAAAAAGCCGGUCUCAGUUCGGAUUGAGGUCUGCAACUCGACCUCAUGAAGUCGGAGUCGCUAGUAAUCGCAGAUCAGCAACGCUGCGGUGAAUACGUUCCCGGGCCUUGUACACACCGCCCGUCAAGUCACGAAAGUUGGUAACACCCGAAGCCGGUGGCCUAACCCCUUGUGGGAGGGAGCCGUCGAAGGUGGGACUGGCGAUUGGGACUAAGUCGUAACAAG